CCCGGCUCAGCCGCGGUGGGCUCUUCGCAGGGGCUGGCGGGGAGCCAGGAGCCAUCGCAGCCUCCCACGGGAAUGGCAGGGGUGACUUCUGUGGGUUCCAGAGGGAAAACUCAUGGCAACUGUAACGUGGAUACACUUGGGACCGUGGGGAAGCCGGGUUACAGAAGUUAGGGUGGCACAGACAGCCCCUGGUACAGCCACACGCCGCAGGGAGGGCGAUGGUGCCCGCUUGGACCCUUCCCGAGCCGCCGCUGCCGGUACCCGAGCGUGGCUCGGGCACAGCUGCUGUGACAACGUGCCCUGCACAGCCUUCUCUGCCCACAUUUCAGUCACUUCGGCUCGAGCAGCCAGCCCAUGACAAAAUGUCCCAGUGAGAGCUGGCGCGGUGGCACGCGAUGGGGCCGUGAGCCGUGCCAGCGUGGCACAGGGGACUCUGCGAGGUGGCACUUGCCCUGCGAGCACCAGCCAGCGCCGCUCCCUGCUGCCCAGCGCGGGGGAGGCACUAAGGGAGCACUGGGAGCACUGGGAGCACUGGGAGCUGUGCCGCUCCAGCGAGCAGACACCGGCAGCGCCAGGAGCCCGGGGCCACUCGCUGUGGCUGCUAUUUUCUCUUUUCUGCUUUUAAUUUCGUGGAUAAUGGUGUUUCUCUCUUUGUCAAAUGCUCAGCAAAGUUCUCAAGAUAUUUCAAACGAAGAAAUGUGGCAAUAGGAAAAAAUCAGCAGCAACCAAUGUUUCUAAAUAUUACAAGAGAAGAAGUAAACAGCAAAGUGACAACAAAUUAUUGUGUAUUUUCAUAGUCCUGUAUUUGUGAUCUUAUGUUCCAGCACAGAGAUACUUCCUAAAGGCAUGUUUAUUUUAAAGCUUUUUUUUCCCCAAAAUUUCAGAGCAUAUGUAGAACAUAUAGCAAAAGGCUGUAUGUAAAGAAGCUGACGGAAUACCUUUUCUUUUCCAGAUGUCAUCAACUCUAUUUAGAAAGAAACUAAUUGUGUAAAUUUGUAAUGUAAUUGCUUUUGAAAUAAAUACCUCAGAAAAUAUUUGCAAGUAGUUCUGACUCAAGUA
Molecule: long non-coding RNA, 1059 nt
Filed under: Catharus ustulatus (Swainson's thrush)
Lineage: Eukaryota; Metazoa; Chordata; Aves; Passeriformes; Turdidae
Description: lncRNA (ENSCUSG00005010176.1)
Source: RNAcentral